AAACGCAACGUAUUUUCUUAGGUUAAUUGCAUACAAUUCUAUAUAAACAUAUCGAAUAUAAGGUAUAUUCCUAUAAAGUUUAACUUUGUAUAUUUAUCUUUACAAAACUUUUAACAUUUUCAAAGAUUCUCUUGCUAUUAUGAUCCAUUAGAAAAAUAUAGUUAAUCAUAGAUAAAAUACUUCUGUUAAUGAAUGAGGUAAAUUAAUCUUUUUACUCCUCUUAUAUUAUUUGUGAUGGUAGAAAGAAAGAAGAUAAUCAUUGAAAAUUUUUGAAAGGAUAUUUUUAUAUAAUUUUAGCAGUUGGGCUUUUGAAAGAAUAUAUUUAUAAUGACAAAAAUAUUAUUUUACUUAUUUUCUAUUAAAUAAUAAUAAAUAUUGAUCUACAGAUAAUAAAUCAGAGGGGCAGAUAUGAAUAAUACUAAAUUUUUUAUAAAAUAAAUAUAAAAAAUUGAAUUUUAUAGAAAUAUAUUUAAUGUUCGUUUAUACGGAGAUUUAUGAAAUUAA
This 504-nucleotide long non-coding RNA is filed under the name Ananas comosus (pineapple). RNAcentral describes it as "long non-coding RNA (ACOM_LNC014822)". The record is from RNAcentral. Lineage: Eukaryota; Viridiplantae; Streptophyta; Magnoliopsida; Poales; Bromeliaceae.